CACGCCCUAAACUAUGUCAACUAGUUGUCGGGUCUUAUUAGACUUGGUAACGUAGCUAACGCGUGAAGUUGACCGCCUGGGGAGUACGGUCGCAAGAUUAAAACUCAAAGGAAUUGACGGGGACCCGCACAAGCGGUGGAUUAUGUGGAUUAAUUCGAUGCAACGCGAAAAACCUUACCUACCCUUGACAUGUCAGAAAGUUUUCAGAGAUGAAAGUGUGCUCGAAAGAGAAUCUGAACACAGGUGC
RNAcentral lists this ribosomal RNA (247 nucleotides) under uncultured bacterium. RNAcentral's name for it is "partial 16S ribosomal RNA". It matches the Rfam family "Bacterial small subunit ribosomal RNA", at positions 796 to 1041 of the family's 1533-position model. The record is from RNAcentral.